This 483-nucleotide ribosomal RNA is filed under the name uncultured bacterium. Its description in RNAcentral is "bacterial SSU rRNA". It matches the Rfam family "Bacterial small subunit ribosomal RNA", at positions 30 to 506 of the family's 1533-position model. The record is from RNAcentral.
AUUGAACGCUGGCGGAAUGCUUUACACAUGCAAGUCGAACGGCAGCACGGACUUCGGUCUGGUGGCGAGUGGCGAACGGGUGAGUAAUAUAUCGGAACGUGCCCAGUCGUGGGGGAUAACGUAGUGAAAAUUACGCUAAUACCGCAUACGAUCUACGGAUGAAAGCGGGGGAUCGCAAGACCUCGCGCGAUUGGAGCGGCCGAUAUCAGAUUAGGUAGUUGGUGAGGUAAAGGCUCACCAAGCCAACGAUCUGUAGCUGGUCUGAGAGGACGACCAGCCACACUGGAACUGAGACACGGUCCAGACUCCUACGGGAGGCAGCAGUGGGGAAUUUUGGACAAUGGACGCAAGUCUGAUCCAGCCAUUCCGCGUGCAGGACGAAGGCCUUCGGGUUGUAAACUGCUUUUGUACAGAACGAAAAGGUCUCUAUUAAUACUGGGGGCUCAUGACGGUACUGUAAGAAUAAGCACCGGCUAACUACGU